GCAAACACAUUCCAGCCAAUCAGCAGCAGACCCUCCCUCCCAGACCCUCCCACCUCCUGGACAGCAUCCAUUUUGAAGCUGCAUUCUUAGUGAGCUGUCCAGGAGGUGGGAGGGUCUGGGAGGGAGGGUCUGCUGCUGAUUGGCUGGAAUGUGUCUG
This is a non-coding RNA of Pelobates cultripes (western spadefoot toad), 157 nucleotides long. NCBI's taxonomy places the organism in Eukaryota, Metazoa, Chordata, Amphibia, Anura, Pelobatidae. The record is from the annotation of a GenBank genome assembly.